UUCUAUUAGAUUUAAAUAAUAGUAAAAUCUGCUCAAUGAAAAUUAAAUAGCCGCAAUUUUCUGUGCUAAGGUAGCAUAAUCAUUCGUCUUUUAAUUGAAGACCAGUACAAAAGAUUAAACAACUUAAUAAAUAUACUUAAUUAAUUAUUUUAAACUUUUCAAAAAUGUAAAAAGACAUUUAUUUUAAAGAAAGACGACAAGACCCUAUUGAACUUAACUUAAGUUUGACUGGGGCAGUAAAUUAAUUAUUAUUUUAAUUUAAAUAUUAUAAAUAAAAUCUAAUAUAAUUAAAUAAUCAAGUUACCAUAGGGAUAACAGCACAAUAUAUUUCUACAGCUCAUAUAUAAAAAUUAAAUUGUGACCUCGAUGUUGAAUAAUAACCUAUUUAUAUAACGCAAAAGUUAAAAAAGGAAGUCUGUUCGACUUUUAAAAAAUUACA
RNAcentral lists this ribosomal RNA (439 nucleotides) under Odo bruchi. RNAcentral describes it as "partial 16S ribosomal RNA". Lineage: Eukaryota; Metazoa; Arthropoda; Arachnida; Araneae; Zoridae. The record is from RNAcentral.